CUCGGUGCCCAUAGAAUUCUGGUCACACCCGUUCUCAUUCCGAACACGGUCGUUAAGCAGAAUUCGCCGAUGAUAGUGGCUUUGCUGCGAAAGUAGGUUAGUGCCGGGC
RNAcentral lists this ribosomal RNA (109 nucleotides) under Planctomycetota bacterium. Lineage: Bacteria; Pseudomonadati; Planctomycetota. The record is from RNAcentral.